UGACAAUGAUGUGGAUAAUUUUUGAGCAUGCCUUUAAAUCUCUCCCAAGCUUGGUAGAGAUUUUCUCUAUCUUUCUAUCUGAAACUCAAGAUCUCUCUCCUCAAUCG
Molecule: small nucleolar RNA, 107 nt
Filed under: Capsicum annuum
Lineage: Eukaryota; Viridiplantae; Streptophyta; Magnoliopsida; Solanales; Solanaceae
Description: Plant small nucleolar RNA R71
Rfam family: Plant small nucleolar RNA R71
About the family: R71 is a member of the C/D box family of snoRNAs containing the C (UGAUGA) and D (CUGA) box motifs.
Source: Rfam by way of RNAcentral